CAUUAUCUGUUUACAUGAAUUAUUCAAUGUUUAUCAAUCAUGUUAAUGGAGAUGAUAAUGUUGAUUGUUUCAAGUUUAAGCCAAUUGGUUUAAAAGGUGAGACUAAAUUAUUAUUAGCAAUCAAAUGUAAUGUUCAAGCUUCAAGUUAUAAGCCUAACGUUCAUUUAUUGUACUACUUGCCGAGACUUAAUUAGGAGACGUUCCCUAAAGAGUGUAUCGUCUGACUUUCAUUUUCAAGAUGUUAAUCUUUUCUUCGUCUUAACCGUUAAUUUCAUUUUUAUUGUUAUUUAUUUCAAUUUAUUUACUAUUUCUUUCGUUAAAUUUUUGAAUCUCGACUGGAAAUGUGCUUCAUUUUAGGAUAAAAUUGGUCAUUAUUGGUGUAAAUUAGUCUGCAGUCAUUUCUUCAUUUCCAUCAUUUUCGCGGUAAAAUUUCCAUAUCGUCUGCUUAAAAGGUUACCGUUACAGUUAGGAUUGGUGGAUUAAUAGCAACGUUAAUUGGAGUGGCUGUAGCUGUACUUCACUACCAUACGAUAUCCAUUGAAAGAACAAGAUGUUUUUUACGAUUCUCUAUCUUAUAAUUGUUUCGCUUUAAUUUUGGAGAUUAUUAUGGAUCUAACUUUAAUCCGAUUAAUUUGUUUUUAAAUCGUUUCAAAGUAACUUGUCUGACUGAAAAUUCAAUGUUUAUCAAAAGACUUAACACUCUGUGCUGUGAUUUUAAGGAUUGGUUCCUCUUAACAUCGACUUGAAGCUUUGAUGUGAAUCCAUCUUAAAAUUUCAAUUUGCUGUUUAAUCCAAUCUUUUUCGAUUCAGCCACUCUUGAUUGCUGAUAGAAAAAAAAUAAUUAAUCGAUGAAAAAAAGCCUUGAAUACUAGUCCAACGUUUGAAAGUGGUAAAAGCUAAUUGAAAUAUGUGUUUUCGUUUAUCCAAUGCCUUGAAAUUCAUGUGUUUUGGCAAUCUUGGAAUUUAAUAUAACACCUUGGUAUUGACUCAUCAUCACUAUUUACUUCAACAGUAAAGAAAUGGCGAAUGAUAAAGCCUUGAGGCGUAACUCACAAUUGAAAACCUGAGAACCAUUUUCAUUGUAUCUUGUUGAUAAAAAUUUAAACAUUCUGAUGUAGUGAAUAUUCAAUAAUCAUGGCAACAACAAAAUAUAUUGAAAGAUUGUAAUAUAAGGAGCAAAGGAAGAGGAAAAUAUACUUUCAGACCUAAUAAUCUGGUUUGCUACAAAAUUGUUUCUUAAGAUUACCAUCACUAUCAUGGAUUCCAGGGAUGGAGCAGACAAAUCUGGUUGAAUAAACUUAUAAAUUUACUGGUGGAAAAUGGAGCGCGCCAAAAAGAAUAAUCAACUCUUCUUAACUCAUGAUUCUAUUGAUAAUAGAAUUUAUUUAAUCCCAUUUUAUCAAUAAUCUGCUUCUGAUGUCACAUUUGGCUUCCAACAAUCUGGAGUUAAGCUGUCCCAUGAAAUCCAAUUUUCUGGCACUCUAGUUAUAUUUGGCUUUUCAAUUCCAAGAUGUGUUCAGAUUUGUUUGACCUGAUGGAAGCCUUCAAUUGACAUUGAUUCGUGUGAAUAAUGAAUUGAUAUGGAAACAAGUGACAGUGUAAAAGAUCAGCUGAACAGCUUACCAUUUCUCAAGGUCAACUUUGAAACAUUGUCUGUUGGCUCAUUGUGAGAUAUUUUAUUCAGUUUCAGUUUCCUUUUCAAUUUUUCAUUGUAUCUCCAAUUGACAGUUUCCUGGUUUUAGGUGUUCCCCAAUCAAUAAUUGUAAAAGUAUUAUCCAGCAAACAGUGACACUUUCGUUAUUCAUUCGUCUCAUCAUGUUUAUAAGUAAACAAGCAGUAAAAAACAACCAGACAACGUGGUAAAGCUUACCAAGUGCGUAAUAAAGUUCGGAUUACAAAUGAGCUUAAAGUUUCCCAUCAAAUGGUGAACUCACUGUGCAUCACAAAACAUGACAAAAAUGGACUAAGUGACACAUUGAUUGAUUGGAUAAAAUGUUACUCAUCCUCCAUCAAUAAGGGAAAAAAAGAGUUAACAAACGCUCCAAGAUCAAAUUUCAAUGUGAAGUCCUAAACUCAACUUUUCAUCAUCAUCAUCAUUAUCAACAUCAUUAACAUAAUUAGCACCAUCGUAUUCCAGUUUGCAAUGAGAGAAGAACAACAAAUUAUAAUUCAAAGAUAAUUUAUUAUCUUUAAUUGAUUAUAAUUUGUAAUUUAAAUUAAGUUACCAACUCUUUCAGUUGCUCGCAUUUCCAAUGUUUACUCUCCACAAUAUUGUUAUUAUUUACUCUAUUGGCAAGAUUGUAUUAUUUUUAGUUAACAUUGAUUGAUGCAGAGUUUUUUCAGUUUGGUUUCAAGUUGAACUCAAUACAAUUCAGUUUAUAAUUAGCAGCUGUGAGUUAAUUUUGAAAUCGUUAAUGUUUACAUUGUUAAACUGGAAAGGUUUAUUUUUAAAAAAAUGAUUCAAAAGUCAAACAUUGUUUGCAAGGUUAACGAUCAACAAUUUUGACAAUGCAAGCAAAUUAGAUUUUCCCUGAAAAAAUUUGCAAAUUCACAAAAUGAACAGUUGAUUCAACAACAUGUUUACAAUUAAAAUUAUUACCGGAAAGAAACAAAGAGCAAAACAGAAGUAAAAGUAAACUCUUUUUUGUCAACUUUUGUUUCAUUGGCAAGAGACUCUACUUUUCCUAGGUUUUGCCUUCAGAUGUUGCUUCUUGUUUUCUUGUUCAAUUGUUGAUCGUAACAAUUAGCAUAAUGAGACCUUUGAGAUUUACUUAAUCAAUUAAAGUUUUCCUAGUUUAGGUAAGAGUCGCAAAAGUAAUUGUAAUUGGUAAACAAUGCAAUUUGAAUCAACUUGUUACUCCAAUAAUGACAAUUGUUUGGGUUUUGAUGAAUAUCAAAAGUCUCCAUUAGAGUCAACCUUAACGAUUUACAAGCAAAUUAGUAAAAGAUUAAACAUUUUACUUUCAUAAUUAUCUCCAUGUUAGACUGUAUUGGUGAAUGAAAAUUUACGUUAAUUUAGUUUAUUUUACAGAUUAAUUAAUGAUUUCUGUUAUGAUAACUUGUUAUUAAUUAGCAAUUUUGUUGAUUCCUUUUUUGCCUAGGUUUUAACCUUUUGUAAAUUAGAUGAAAAGUUGAUUUAUUAAUGUUAACUGUUAAUAGAUUGGAUUUAUUACGGAAUUUAAUUGUUUAUUAUUAUUGUUGGCUUAAUUAAGGAAUCUGACUUUUCUCUGUUUGCUUUUCCAUUUCAAUGAACACUUGAUUUAUAACCAUUUUAUGGGCCGCAAUUUAUGAUAGUAAUUAUUUAACUAUGAUUAAUUGAUAAAUAUUGGUUCUCUGAGUAAACAACAAGUUCUGUUGAUCAAGAAUCAAUGUUGAAACAAAAAUUUAGCCUCAAAAGGUUGGCCGAUCAGUUGAAAUUUAGGGAAUGCAGUUUCACCAAUUAACCCAUUCAAUUGUAAGCAAUUGAUUAAAUGAAGCAAAUUUUGCAAGUUUUUCAGUUCAACAUUGAGAAGAACAAAAAAUGUUAGUUAACUUUCUGAUUAUUUAUCGAUUUUUUUCCAGUCUUUCAUCCAUUAUCGAUCGAUUAUUGACUUUACUUUGUCAUGUUGAGGUAAAGGUUUAAUUGUUUUACCAUUUUUCAUUUGUAAAAACAAAUUGAUGACAAUUAAUAUUUAAACACAACGAUUAUGGCAAUAAACUGAGUAAACCGAGAAAUCAUUUUGUAAUGUGAAACAAAAGCAACACAAUAUUAACUCAACCAAAAAUGAAUCUCAGGCGAGCUUUAACUUAACAACUUGAUGAUGAUGAUGAUUACGAUGGUAAAGAUGAAGGAUGAACAACCUUACAUCUUUCAAUCUGAAUGGUUCAAUGAUUUGACUUACGAUACCCAAAAGACUCAUUCCUGUGACUUAAAUUUUUAAAGGCUCUCAGGAUGCAACUAAAAAUAGCUAAGAUUAUCUUGCUUGUCCUUUUUGACAACUAAACUGUAACUCUUUCCACUCUUUCAUCUUCACUCCCAUCUUCAUUAACAUCAUCUUUUCCUCCUUUUUUAAGCCUUUCGAACCAACAUUCGAAACUCGACCUUUUCCAAGUUUUUCCCAUUCUAAACCUUUUACCUUUACUCAUUGAAACAAUGUUGAUUGAAAAUAAAUGGCUCAACAUGUUCACUUGAUGUUGCCAUCAAUCUGAUCGUCAAAA
Molecule: non-coding RNA, 4197 nt
Organism: Tetranychus urticae (two-spotted spider mite)
Lineage: Eukaryota; Metazoa; Arthropoda; Arachnida; Trombidiformes; Tetranychidae
Source: RefSeq, a predicted model, not a curated record